UGAAAUAAUCUGUUUGCCCUACGGCUAUGUUAUUUUUUUUAGAUUGAAUCUUAACAUAUUUCUUAAUAUGGAGUGCCACUUCACAUUCUUUGCAUCCAUAGAAUAUGGUUGAUUCCUCACAAUGAUCGCUUCGCACGAGUAGUCUCCAUUUGUGUCUUCUUCAUAUGUAAAGUUGAGUAAAAUGCUCAUCAUUCUUGUAUCUCACCUUAUAUGGAAAGACACAAGAAAAAUUCGCAUUCAUCACAUGUUAACGUUUCUUUUCCUGAUUCAUCACAAAUCGAACAUGUUUCUGCUGAAUUAGAGAAGAACAAGGGAUGCCUAUAAGAAUGAUGGUUCUCCCUGAGCUCCGAGGCGAUGAAGCUUUUUAAUCGAACAUGUUCCUUUUUACUGAGCUCUGAGCCAGGUCGCGAGGUCUUUUUUCCCUAGUUAGUUCUCGGGUCAACGGGCCAUGAAAUCCGACUGAUCUUGGGAUUAGUAUGAGCUAUGUGAAAAUUCCUGACACCCACACGUUUGUGGAGUAGUUUUUAGGGUGUAUCAAACCUUGGAUACCUUAUUACAACAUCUCUUAUCUGAUCACU
Arabidopsis thaliana (thale cress) is the source of this 578-nucleotide long non-coding RNA. RefSeq annotates it as other RNA. The record is from RefSeq. NCBI's taxonomy places the organism in Eukaryota, Viridiplantae, Streptophyta, Magnoliopsida, Brassicales, Brassicaceae. The transcript has a single exon.